Molecule: long non-coding RNA, 274 nt
Organism: Catharus ustulatus (Swainson's thrush)
Lineage: Eukaryota; Metazoa; Chordata; Aves; Passeriformes; Turdidae
Exons: 2
Source: RefSeq, a predicted model, not a curated record
UGCCUGAGCAUCCCUACUCUGCCUGCAACAGCAGAACUGGGCUUUCUUCUGAAGCUGUACCUCCCCACCAGUGCAGAAAAAAAUCAGUUCCCGCUGAUCCUCUCCUCGAGGUAGACAGCAGUCAUCCAAAGCCCCUUGACAUGCUUUCAGGUCAACAUCCUGAAGACACAAAUAAAAUGGUUCUAUUACACACAGUUCUGUCAAAAUUAAUCUUUACAGUGCACUUUUUUCUCCAGUGACAGCAUUCCAAAUAAAAUAUGCACUGAACAGGUCA